GAAACGACUGCUAAGACUGGAUAGGAGAUAAGAAGGCAUCUUUUUAUUUUUAAAAGACCUAGCAAUAGGUAUGCUUAGGGAAGAGCUUGCGUCACAUUAGUUAGUUGGUGGGGUAAUGGCCUACCAAGACGAUGAUGUGUAGCCGGGCUGAGAGGUCGAACGGCCACAUUGGGACUGAGACACGGCCCAAACUCCUACGGGAGGCAGCAGUAAGGAAUUUUCGGCAAUGGAGGAAACUCUGACCGAGCAAUGCCGCGUGAACGAUGAAGUAUUUCGGUACGUAAAGUUCUUUUAUUAGGGAAGAAAAGAUGGUGGAAAAACCAUUAUGACGGUACCUAAUGAAUAAGCCCCGGCUAACUAUGUGCCAGCAGCCGCGGUAAUACAUAGGGGGCAAGCGUUAUCCGGAAUUAUUGGGCGUAAAGGGUGCGUAGGCGGUUAAAUAAGUUUAUGGUCUAAGUGCAACGCUCAACGUUGUGAUGCUAUAAAAACUGUUUAGCUAGAGUUGGAUAGAGGCAAGUGGAAUUCCGUGUGUAGUGGUAAAAUGCGUAAAUAUACGGAGGAACACCAGAAGCGAAGGCGGCUUGCUGGGUCUUAACUGACGCUGAGGCACGAAAGCGUGGGGAGCAAACAGGAUUAGAUACCCUGGUAGUCCACGCCCUAAACGAUGAGUACUAAACGUUGGAUAAAACCAGUGUUGAAGUUAACACAUUAAGUACUCCGCCUGAGUAGUACGUACGCAAGUAUGAAACUUAAAGGAAUUGACGGGACUCCGCACAAGCGGUGGAUCAUGUUGUUUAAUUCGAAGGUACCCGAAAAACCUCACCAGGUCUUGACAUGCUUUUGCAAAGCUGUAGAAAUACAGUGGAGGUUAUCAGAAGCACAGGUGGUGCAUGGUUGUCGUCAGCUCGUGUCGUGAGAUGUUGGGUUAAGUCCCGCAACGAGCGCAACCCUUGUUGUUAAUUGCCAUCAUUAAGUUGGGGACUUUAGCAAGACUGCCAAUGAUAAAUUGGAGGAAGGUGGGGACGACGUCAAAUCAUCAUGCCCCUUAUGACCUGGGCUACAAACGUGAUACAAUGGCUGUUACAAAGGGUAGCUAAAGCAUAAGCUUCUGGCGAAUCUCAAAAAAGCAGUCUCAGUUCGGAUUGAAGUCUGCAACUCGACUUCAUGAAGUUGGAAUCGCUAGUAAUCGCGAAUCAGCAUGUCGCGGUGAAUACGUUCUCGGGGUUUGUACACACCGCCCGUCA
Molecule: ribosomal RNA, 1244 nt
Filed under: Candidatus Phytoplasma solani
Lineage: Bacteria; Bacillati; Mycoplasmatota; Mollicutes; Acholeplasmatales; Acholeplasmataceae
Description: bacterial SSU rRNA
Rfam family: Bacterial small subunit ribosomal RNA
Source: RNAcentral